UACGGAGGGUGCAAGCAUUAUUCGGAUUUAUUGGGCGUAAAGAGGGCGUAGGCGGAUAGGUAAGUCAGGUGUGAAAGCCCGGGGCUCAACCGCGGAAUGGCAUUUGAGACUGCAUGUCUAGAGGGUGGUCGGAGAAAGCGGAAUUCCUCAUGUAGCGGUGAAAUGCGUAGAGAUGUGGAGGAACACCGGUGGCGAAGGCGGUUUUCUAGCUUGUUCCUGACGCUGAGACGCGAAAGAGUGGGGAGCAAACAGG
Molecule: ribosomal RNA, 253 nt
Filed under: uncultured bacterium
Lineage: Bacteria
Description: partial 16S ribosomal RNA
Rfam family: Bacterial small subunit ribosomal RNA
Source: RNAcentral